GACGAACGCUGGCGGCAGGCCUAACACAUGCAAGUCGAGCGGAGCUGCGGACGGGUGAGUAAUGCCUAGGAAUCUGCCUGGUAGUGGGGGAUAACGUCCGGAAACGGGCGCUAAUACCGCAUACUAUCAGAUGAGCCUAGGUCGGAUUAGCUAGUGGGUGGGGUAACGGAUCACCUAGGCGACGAUCGCUAGCUGGUCUGAGAGGAUGAUCAGCCAAACUGGAACUGAGACACGGCCCAGAAUCGUACGGGAGGCAGCAGGGGGGAAUAUUGCACAAUGGGAGCAAGCCUGAUGCAGCCAUGCCGCGUGCAUGAAGAAGGCCUUAGGGUUGUAAAGUGCUUUCAGCGGGGAGGCGUUACCCGCAGAGGAAGCACCGGCUAGCUCCGUGCCAGCAGCCGCGGUAAUAC
Molecule: ribosomal RNA, 407 nt
Filed under: uncultured bacterium
Lineage: Bacteria
Description: partial 16S ribosomal RNA
Rfam family: Bacterial small subunit ribosomal RNA
Source: RNAcentral